This 250-nucleotide small RNA is filed under the name Drosophila guanche. Lineage: Eukaryota; Metazoa; Arthropoda; Insecta; Diptera; Drosophilidae. The record is from RNAcentral.
GUUGCUGUUGCUGUUGUCAUUGCCGUCUCCCUUCCCUUCAUCCACUCACUCUUCUCGUCUGUGGCAUUAAAUUAAUUUUGCUCAUUUGGCGGAUAAGCACCAGCAACAGGGGAGAAGCAGCAGCAGCAGCAGCAGCAGCAGCAGCAGCAGCAGCAGCAGCAGCAGCAGCAGCAGCAGCAGCAGCAGCAGCAGCAGCAGCAGCAGCAGCAGCAGCAGCAGCAGCAGCAGCAGCAGCAGCAGCAGCAGUUGU